AUGUCCAAUCCAGAGUACAUAGUCUUUACAGACAGUGAACUUGAGCAAGCUCGACGUUCCUACUUUGAAAAGAAGCGGCUGGGGACAGAGUGUGCUGAACCUUUGUCAAAGGAACUCUUUUGUCGACUCGUAAGAAACACCAUGACAAACAUGAUUUCCAUAGCAAGAGCAGCCGAGGACUCCAGAUACCCCAGCAAACAUGAGGUUGAUGCCAUGGCAAAGCGAUUAAUGGAGUACUACCCAAUGCUUAAAGAAACGUGUGGUGAGUGGGAGCAUGUUGCUAAAAAGCUAAUGAAGAGACUCUCCAAUGUCAAAAGUCCAAGGAAGGGCAAAAAACCACCUGCGAAGAAGCCAAGAAAGGAUGGGAAUGAAAGCAUUGCAAAAAGUGACAGCAGUGGGGAAUCCAGUGCAUCAACUAUUAUUCUAGAUAGAUCACCAGUUAGAUCGAUGGGCACCCCAGUGCACCACCAGGAUGGCAGUGAUGAAGAAUCUGGUUCAGCUGACUUCUUUGACAGCCACAAAACCCAGGCAAGACACUACAAGACACUUCAAGACAUGUACAAGACCAAAAAACCGAACAAAGCUGCUGUUACCCAACUGCUGAACCUGGAGUUUGAGUCUAGAAGACAAUUCAUUAACUCUGAUGCUAUAAAGGAGCAAGACAGAGCAGUGAAGAUACUAGAGGCGUAUCCUUGUUUCAGAGAACUGGAUCAUGUCCUUGAUGAGCUGCGGAGAAUUAUUCAACCAUCCAACUUGAAAUACAUUUCUGAGAUGAAGGAUAGAUGGGAAAUCUUCUACUCAAAGGUGCAGUUUUAUGGUGUCAUGAAGAAAGUUAUGAAGCCGCCAAAAACUUUGGAUGGAGUGGAACAUGCAGCAGCUGUGUUCGGAGCCCUUCCCAUGCUUUUCCCUUCCAGCACAGUACCACCUAAGAAGCUGGGCAUCUGUAGUGAGGCUUUUUUCCAUGUCCUAAAGACUUCAGAAGACCCUGAAGGCUACCUGCGUCAGCGACCCCUGGCUUGUCCAGUUCUGCUUGUCUCUGAAGGCAACUGCAUGAUAGCUGUUGGAACCACAGCGGUGAGCACUUUUGACCGGAAGGAUCUUAAUGAGGGACUGCUCUAUCUGAUGGCAUAAUACUAUGCCCUCCACCUCACAUAUCCAAAGUGCAUUUCCACGCUGCUGUCUGUCUUGCAAACUGAAAUACUCAAAGACUCCAUCCAUGACCGAGAUUCAACCCCCUCUUACAGGAAGGCUCUUGGUGAGUGGAAGUCAUUCAUUGAGUGAGUCUCUCAGAUGACAGACUCCAUCUGCCUUGUUUAUCAGUCUCAGUGUUAGUCAGUGAGGUUGUUUUUCUUUUCUUUUUUUUCUCUAGAAAAGUUGUUCAAAUGUAAAACACAUGUUUGUUUGUGUGGUCGUUAAACUUGUUCUUCUAAAAUGUUAUGUAAUAUAGUAUUUGCAAUAGUGAUUGUUUUAAGCUUCAGCAAAAUUUAUUUUUGAUACCAGCCAUGUUAUACUGUUAUUAUUCAUGUUAAGAGCACUUGGCCAUGUUACACCCUGCUGAAAUGUAUAAUUUUAGACAUGAUUCUACUGACCCAAUAAAGCGCAAAAACUAAGAGUGCUUUUGCUGUCUUAAUUUAAGAUAAAUUCCCUUAUUUUUAGUAGGUUUUUGAAGAGAUGGUGUCUUAUUCUCAGGAAUUUUGGCUGAUUAUUGUUCUCAGACUCGAAACAUAAUUCUUAUAGUUAGCUCAAUCAAGAAAGAAACAAUUCAGAUUUAAGAAAAUUUGUCCUAUAGUAAGGUGUUUUUUUUUAUGUGAAAAAUCUAAAUUAAGGUGUAGAAUCUUAAAGUAAGCAAAUAAUUCUUGAAAACAGCUUGUUCAAGAAAUCAUAAUACUCAUUUUAGGUACAGAUUUUCUAAAUAUCAAAGUGUCUUUUACUUAUAAUAAGUCACAUUUUCUUGAAUUAAGCAUACAUUUUAGACAAUUUUGUCUAGUUAAAAGGCAUAUGGCAGUUAGGUUAAUUUGCUAGUUUUAAGAAUUCUAGUCAAGCAACUUUUGCUUACCCCAUUGGCAGAUUUUUUUGCUCAAAACAAGAAAAUUUUGUCAGAUUUAAGAAUAUUUGGCUUGUUUCAAGUAUAGCUGUUUUUGCAGUGUAAUGCUUCAGUGUGUCACAUCAGACAGCAGCAAAUCUCAGAUGACAGAAAGGCACAGAUGAAGUAAGUCCGUGAAACAUUAGGCAGAAGCUCCCCUGGAGGAGACUGUUACUCAUAUACAUGCAUCUCCAACCAAAGACUUAUCAAACGUGGCACGUCUGCUACAGCUUUUUGAAGGGCUUCACCCGCCCUACACACCGGGCUUAAUCACAAGCACAUGGUAAUGGGACGUGUGUGACGGUAGGCUUAUUGAGAGUAAGGCAUGGCCGAAUUGAUUUCAAGUAUCUGCCAAACGUUUUAUCGGCCUCUUGCUAAGCACCCCGCUAAACGGUCGUGUCAGAAUGCUAUUAUAGUCCGAGCACGAAGAAGGCAUAACUGCUCCUUAAAUCACAACUAUAAAUGUGUUUAUUUUUGUCAUCACAACCGAAAAGAAGGGAUGCAUUAAAUAAUAGAUGUGCAACUUAAAGACCAGAAAGGAAAUAAGGGAUGAGAGUAUCUAUGGCAGAAAUUGUAAAUCCGCAUUUAAUGCCUCAGUCUCAAAUGGUAUCCACAGAACAUCAAAGACCCCCAACCCUCCAUCUCAAAAAAAUAAAAUCUAAGAAAGCAAAGCACACAGAGGAUUACUCUCCUCCAAUCGCAUACAUCCACUCUGACGGGAUCUCGCCACUCCUCGCUAACAGACCCCCCCUCCCACGCUGAGAAUGAGAAGCAUUACAUGGUGAAAGGAAAAGAGCAGGGGUGGAGGGAGCGGAGGAGUGGGAGCAGCGGGAAAGAAAAUAAAGCUAGAAGUGUGAGUCGGUCAAUACUGAGAUGUAACCUGACACGGAGACAGGCAAAUCAGGUAAUGGGAAGAUGGAGAGAGAGGGUUAGAGUGUUUGCCCUUUAAAGGACAAGGGAGCACUUAGGGUCUCUGAGAACAGGCACUUAAAUAAGUCUUUACACACACACACACACACACAGCUGGCUGAAAUGAGAUGAUGUCUGACAUCAUCCAAAACAUUUACACUUUGCUGUUAUUUUCUGCUAAUACAACAUACAGUAAUAGAGUUUUAACUCGCUGGGUGUUAUUAUUGUUUAAGAAUGUGAUCAUACUGCAUUUACCCUCUGGCUGCUCAUAUUACAGUGUGAUCAAUAUUAAUCGAGUACAGCAAGUAGGAGUCAGGUAGAGUGAUUAGAUUAUGAUCUCAAUACUUUAUGCUGCACUUAGGGCUUGGAUUAGCACGCAUUUUGUCCAGCCCAAAUAUCCAGAUACUUUAGAAU
Molecule: long non-coding RNA, 3406 nt
Filed under: Oreochromis niloticus (Nile tilapia)
Lineage: Eukaryota; Metazoa; Chordata; Actinopteri; Cichliformes; Cichlidae
Description: lncRNA (ENSONIG00000033953.1)
Source: RNAcentral